This 391-nucleotide unclassified non-coding RNA is filed under the name soil metagenome. Its description in RNAcentral is "partial contains 5.8S ribosomal RNA, internal transcribed spacer 2, and large subunit ribosomal RNA". The stretch from base 1 to 122 matches the Rfam family "5.8S ribosomal RNA", at positions 35 to 154 of the family's 154-position model. The record is from RNAcentral.
GAUGAAGAACGGAGCGAAAUGCGAUACUUGGUGUGAAUUGCAGAAUCCCGUGAACCAUCGAGUCUUUGAACGCAAGUUGCGCCCGAAGCCAUUAGGCCGAGGGCACGCCUGCCUGGGCGUCACACGUCGUUGCCCCCCCAUCUACUCCUUCGGGAUUGCGGGGGGCGGAUGAUGGCCUCCCGUGCGCCUCGUCGCGCGGUUGGCAUAAAUGCCAAGUCCUCGGCGACGCACGCCACGACAAUCGGUGGUUGCGAAACCUCGGUUGCCCGUCGUGUGCGGUCGUCGCGCAUCGAGGGCUCGAAAAAAUUGCCGGGCUCCGGCUCGGCUUUCAACGCGACCCCAGGUCAGGCGGGGUUACCCGCUGAAUUUAAGCAUAUCAAUAAGCGGAGGA